Mastomys coucha (southern multimammate mouse) is the source of this 4289-nucleotide long non-coding RNA. RefSeq lists it as uncharacterized. The transcript has 2 exons. NCBI's taxonomy places the organism in Eukaryota, Metazoa, Chordata, Mammalia, Rodentia, Muridae. The record is from RefSeq and is a predicted model, not a curated record.
GGCUUCCUUCUGACCGUGACCGUGUGCUUCCACGUCCGACGGGCUCCGAGGUAGUUGAGUCUGUUUGCUCCCUUCCCCCGCCCUCUGUCACCUUUAAUGCUUAGUUGCUUCGUUUGCAAAGUCCUGACACCGUGGGCGUCACGGAGGCGAAAGUAAAAAGCCUCCUCUGCGCCUCCCCAGAUUCUCGGGAGGCUGGACGCUCGGGCCAGACGGUCAGGCCCAUCAGACCACAAGGCUUCCGUAGGGGGCGAGGGCCCUGGACUAGCUUUGACUUGGCCUUCCUGGACCCGUGCUGACGUCACGGCCCCAGAACUCGUUGGGUCUGCGGAGGAGGUAACAAGUUCGAAUUUUGUAUCUCUUCGUAGUUAUUCCCAUCUGUUACUGAUGUUUAAGUCCGCGUCGCCAUCGGAUUCUCCAGCUCGGACUUUGCCUUUGCCUUUGAGGCUAACAUUCUGUUACUUAUUUUUGUUUUCUACUCUUCUCCUUCAGAGUAAAGAAGAUUCGUUUAAAUGAAAUGCGAAGCUAUCUCCUCAUUCUAUUUCCGACCCCUGCGGUGCGUUUUGGCGUUUAUUUUUAGAAACCCCUGGGCGUCGGAAGUCAGGUCUCUGCCACUGCAGACUGCAGACUCCUGCUAGGCGCCCAGAGCUUGCCUCGAGACGCAGCCCCUCCCUCCAGGAGGACCCGCGGCUGGGACUGGAAAGAAGAGGAGAUCGGCAGGACCCCAAAGUAGAACCACCGGCCUGCAAGGGUCAGGACACGCUCCGCCCAAGGAGCCAACUGAGGAUCCGACUGGAGGAGGCGAGAGGGGGCGAUGAGCCUCAGAAUCUGGCAGACAACUUCCAGAAAGUUCGACAGGCCUGUUUCAAAGGAGCCUGGACACGAAUAAUACAGAAUAGUAACCUGGUUGCCCGCAACGGGAAAGUUCUCUCUCCGGAGCUGGAGAAAGGAUUUGAUUAGGAGUUAGGGAGUUUAGGGUCUCGAGAUCCCCAGGGGUCAGAGGGUAGAAUAACUCUAGCUAUGCCUGAGUGCUGGCCUGUGGGGAGGGAGGGCCAGAAAGGCUCUGUGUGCUGCCGGAUUCCACGCGAGGCUGCUACCCACCUACGUUUAGAGCUUUUGCGGGGGGGGGGAAUUUUUCAGAAAAAAAUGUGAACCCCCAAAACAAAAAUAAUCUAACCAGAUCGGCUUAGUUAGGCCUGGGAGAGGUGGCCUGUCUUUUCUCCCGCCUGAGGCUAGUCCUGACACUUAGAUGAACUCACGGGAGACAACGGUUUCGGGAACCUCAGCUCUUGCGAUGAGCUGCUGGAUGGAACCUUUUUUUUUUUUUCCUUUCCCAGAGACAGUUUUUUUUUUUUUCCCACAAUGUAACCAGCCCUGCCUGGACUCGCUUUGUAGACCAGGCUGGACUUGAACUCACAGAGAUCCUCCUGCCUCUGCCUUUCCAGCGCUGGGAUUAAAGGCGUGCACCGGCUGAAACUCCUUUUUUUAAAGGCAGGAGGUAUCGCAUCCUGCAAACCAAGCUCAAGCCAAACCACAGGGUACCCCGACUCGGGUGCUCUUUCCUCGAGUUGAUGAUAUAUCUCCACGGGUCUGAGACUCCAAGCUCUCUUUCCACAAGUCGAGGGUAGGAGUGUUCACGUGAUGAAUGUUAAGGAAGGAAUCAGAAAAAAGAGCCUGUUCUGGACUGAGAUAACCACGCCCGUGUCGGUUUCCCAGGCCCUUCCUGGUGUUAGUUAGUUUCUGCUGAUAAGAGCCCUUGCCCAAAAAGGAGAGGACUGGAAGUGAUGACCCAGCCUUAGGGAGCAUAUGUCCAACAGGAAGACGACGACGACCACCACCACCACCACGCACAUCCUAACAAAACUGCACCACUAGGACUUCAGUGCAGGUUUGGACACACCUUCAUGUACACACGAAGUAGAUGCCCACGGGAGUGCGCUCACCUCUGACGUUCUCACACCCAAGGGACCCUUUCAAAAAGUUUGACUUCACAGUAUGCUCUCACAAACAUGUUCGCCUGCGGGCCCAGUCAAACCCAGACGCCUGCAGAGUUCAACGUCGCAUUGUACACUCAAUGCAAUGCAGUGUACACUCAGCAUUGGGCACAUCCUUAGGCAAUAGUAUGCUAGUGCACAGAACCUCAGACCUUCUCCGCCUGCUGGGACCCACCCGGUCAGAAAGAGCCCAAGACCGCCACUCCAAACGAAGUGACUGACAACGAGGACCCAACUCACACUUUCAGAAAUGCCCUCAGCUCGGGCGGGUCUCGGGCGGGUGGGGAUGGGGUGCGUGUACCCAGCUAAGAAGUCCUCCACACACUCAUGCUCAGUCAACGCCAUCCAUCACUCAGGGCCACUCCACAGCAGGGGCCCAAAGGGAAGGCCCAGGUGGGGACCCGGGAUGAUGCGGAGUUGGGGGCCCAAGAAUGAAGAUUCUGUACUACUGACUAGGAGAAGGGCUGGGGGCAUCAAUGCGGGGACCUGGGAAGCAUUGACUUUUGCGCUGUUUGCCCGCGGCCUCGGAGCAAGCAGACGCCAUCUGUUUGCCGGCUGCGACGCGUCGCGUUUAAUUACCCUCUCGGCAGCCUAAUAGAGAUGAUAUUAAACUAAAUCUUUCUGACAUUAAAAGUAAUUAUCCCCAAACCGGUGGCUCCGGGACGGAGUUGCCCCUCCCGUACAGACCCCUUUCCAAAGCUCUGGAUUCCGUUGGUUUGGCUCAAACUCUACACCUGAGAAGGGGCUGGAGGAAGGAGAAGGCGCCUUGGGAGACAGUGUCUCCGAAGGCAGGCAUUCCUGACAAGCGUUUUUCCGCACCAUAGUAGCUCCUGUUCCUGCGUGGACGCAGGCGUGGACGCCAGCACACGAGACAUUUUCCUCCAGUCUUACUAAUUAAGCCUUCCAGUCGUGCGUGCCCAGCGCGAAUGGAGAGAGAGGCAGCCUGGUUCUGUUGAAAGGGUCCUCGGUGGAAGGCCUAGGCUAGGGCCAAGAAAAGUCGGACACAACUUUGGAGUUUGGAAACAAAACAACGAACCGGCACCGCCCACUGUGACUCUGGGUUUUUAAUGUGUUCCUCCUGUGAGGGCUACAGCGUCUAGCAUUUUCCCUGCAGUGAUUUCUGAAGACCCACCUUCCCCCAUUAGGUCCUAUUAUCUCACUUUUCAGGUGAGAAACCAAUUCCUAGCUGGAAGGCGGUACAAAUUUCAAGCACGGAAUACCCUUCCCUAGCCAGUUGUGCAAAGCUCUGGGUUCUACUUGAGGCUUUUCCCUGCGCUCGGGGGUCUAUUCCGCUGCUCCACUUCUUGGGGAAAGGGGCACGGGGCUUCUUACUCUCAAGCAGCAGGUGGAAGGGCCAACUGAGGGGAAGCAGGGACCACACCAGUGCAGAGAAUAGCAGGAGGAGCCAACACGAAGCCCCAGUCAGUAGCCACAGCCACAGCCACAGCCACUGCCCUCCUAGGACAAGCCCUGCAAAGGAGUAGGGGUUGCACAAGGUUUCAAGGCUUUCUGUUUUGAAGUGUCUCCGGUGUUUGCCACUCAGCUAAACCGUAGGUGUGACCUGUGUUGCUUAGCUCUCAGUGUUUUUAGAAAGUGCAAUGGCCCAUUUCAGACCUGAGUGGCCCAGAGCAGUGAGGGAACUGACUUGGAGAACACUAUGCUGCUCAGAAAUCCAGACCUAGUUGUAGGUCCUUGUCCCCUCACCUCCGUUCUGGGUACAGUAUGGGGCAUAGCGAUUACUUUUAGGGUUGAUUUCAUUAAAUUUAGUAGUUAUUGCAGGAAAACUGAGAAUCUGGCCACUCAUGUAUUUGUUGAGCCUCUAGAAUGUGCCCUGCUCAGAGGGGCGGAGAUUAACUACUUGUAAUGUGUUCUUACAGAGUUCACUGAUCAACUAGGCACAUGGUCACACACCCACCGUUGACCUCACAGUGCGAAAGCAGUGGGUGUGGAAGAGGCUUCCGGAAGAGGCCCUUGAUAUGAGUAUCAGCUUUCCCAAAUGGACUCUGCCAGAGCUUGUUCUCAUAAAGUAAAUAUCUUAUAAACGUUUUAGAAAAUGUAACAGAAUAUAUUUUAGUAUAUAUCUUUGUAAACUAUUUUUGUGUGCUCAUUUACCAAUAUAUGCACCAUGUUUACAAACAUAAGCAUUUUUCAUAAUCUUUAAAAGAAUUAUGGAUGUAUCUUGUUUAGCCAAUUCUUUUAAAUGGUUAGUCUUCAUUUUAUGCUCUAAUAAUAUUGCUAUCAUGAGCAUCCUUUAUGAAUGUGACCAAUUAAUUCCUCAGGAUAAACUACUUGAAAUAA